This is a non-coding RNA of Mauremys mutica (yellowpond turtle), 363 nucleotides long. The record is from the annotation of a RefSeq genome assembly. NCBI's taxonomy places the organism in Eukaryota, Metazoa, Chordata, Testudines, Geoemydidae.
AUGACCCCCAGCCUGGCCAUCGCCUUCCUCCUGCUGCUCCCCGCGGGUGUCUAUUCCCAGGUCAGUCUGGUGGAGUCCGGAGGGGGAGUCAAGAAGCCCGGGGAGACCCUCAGACUGACCUGCACCGUGGCCGGAUUCUCUCUCACUAGCUACGAGGUGCACUGGGUCCGCCAGCCAGCGGGGAAAGGGCUGGACUGGCUGGCAAUUAUCUGGGAUGAUGGGGAGUCAGCCAUGAAGAAGAUAGAGGAUAACACCCUGGUCUUCAUCAUAGAUGUCAAGGCCAAGAAACAUCAGAUCAAGCAGGCUGUCAAGAAACUGUAUGAUAUUGAUGUGGCCAAGAAUCAACACAUUGAUCCGUCCUGA